GUACACUCCUGCGGGAGGCAGCAGUGGGGAAUAUUGCACAAUGGGCGCAAGCCUGAUGCAGCGACGCCGCGUGGGGGAUGAAGGCCUUCGGGUUGUAAACUCCUUUCGCUAGGGACGAAGCUUUUUUGUGACGGUACCUAGAUAAGAAGCACCGGCUAACUACGUGCCAGCAGCCGCGGUAAUACGUAGGGUGCGAGCGUUGUCCGGAAUUACUGGGCGUAAAGGGCUCGUAGGUGGUUUGUCGCGUCGUCUGUGAAAUUCUGGGGCUUAACUCCGGGCGUGCAGGCGAUACGGGCAUAACUUGAGUGCUGUAGGGGUAACUGGAAUUCCUGGUGUAGCGGUGAAAUGCGCAGAUAUCAGGAGGAACACCGAUGGCGAAGGCAGGUUACUGGGCAGUUACUGACGCUGAGGAGCGAAAGCAUGGGUAGCGAACAGGAUUAGAAACCCUAGUAGUCCCAUG
RNAcentral lists this ribosomal RNA (460 nucleotides) under uncultured organism. RNAcentral describes it as "partial 16S ribosomal RNA". It matches the Rfam family "Bacterial small subunit ribosomal RNA", at positions 331 to 799 of the family's 1533-position model. The record is from RNAcentral.